GUGCCAGCCGCCGCGGUAAUACCGGCAGCCCGAGUGAUGGCCGAUCUUAUUGGGCCUAAAGCGUCCGUAGCUGGCUGCGCAAGUCCGUCGGGAAAUCCACUCGCCCAACGAGUGGGCGUCCGACGGAAACUGCACAGCUUGGGACCGGAAGGCGCGACGGGUACGUCCAGGGUAGGAGUGAAAUCCCGUAAUCCUGGACGGACCGCCGAUGGCGAAAGCACGUCGCGAGAACGGAUCCGACAGUGAGGGACGAAAGCUAGGGUCUCGAACCGGAUUAGAAACCCCUGUAGUCC
This 293-nucleotide ribosomal RNA is filed under the name uncultured bacterium. Its description in RNAcentral is "partial 16S ribosomal RNA". It matches the Rfam family "Archaeal small subunit ribosomal RNA", at positions 455 to 747 of the family's 1478-position model. The record is from RNAcentral.